Molecule: ribosomal RNA, 253 nt
Filed under: uncultured bacterium
Lineage: Bacteria
Description: partial 16S ribosomal RNA
Rfam family: Bacterial small subunit ribosomal RNA
Source: RNAcentral
UACAGAGGUGGCAAGCGUUGUUCGGAAUUACUGGGCGUAAAGGGCGCGUAGGCGGUCUUUUAAGUCUUGUGUGAAAUCCCUCGGCUCAACUGAGGAACUGCACGGGAUACUGGAAGACUUGAGUUCGGGAGAGGGAAGCGGAAUUCCGGGUGUAGCGGUGAAAUGCGUAGAUAUCUGGAGGAACACCGGUGGCGAAGGCGGCAUCCUGGACCGAAAUUGACGCUGAGGCGCGAAAGCCAGGGGAGCAAACGGG